This 500-nucleotide ribosomal RNA is filed under the name uncultured Myrionecta. RNAcentral describes it as "SSU rRNA". It matches the Rfam family "Eukaryotic small subunit ribosomal RNA", at positions 33 to 598 of the family's 1831-position model. Lineage: Eukaryota; Ciliophora; Litostomatea; Cyclotrichida; Mesodiniidae. The record is from RNAcentral.
GAUGUUCAAGAUAAGCCAUGCACGUCUAGUACAAACUAAAUGAUGGUGAAACUGCAAAUGGCUCAUUACAACGGUUAUGAUGUACCCGGGAGUUCCGAUGGAUAUUUCCAGUAACACUAGAACUAAUACAUGUCCCUGCGUUUAUUAGUUUCGCACAGUCCGUCGCUGAGUCAUGGUAAACAGUUGAUCGACUCGACGUCCCGGAACAGUUUCCGCCCCAUCAGCUUCGAUGGUUGGGUAUUGGCCUACCAUUGCAACAACGGGUAACGAGGAAUUAGGGUUUGAUUUCGGAGAGGGAGCCUGAGAAACGGCUACCACAUCUACGGAUGGCAGCAGGCGCGCAAAUUACCCAAUGCAGACACUGUGAGGUAGUGACGAGAAAUAAUAAAGCGGGACUUCUGUUUCGCUAUUAUAAUGAGGAAUAACCAAAGGUCAUUCCAAUUAGCAACUGAUGGGAAAGUCUGGUGCCAGCAGCCGCGGUAAUACCAGCGUCAGUAGCA